AGUGAACGCUGGCGGUAGGCCUAACACAUGCAAGUCGAACGGCAGCACCGUAAGAGCUUGCUCUUACGGGUGGCGAGUGGCGGACGGGUGAGGAAUACAUCGGAAUCUACUUUUUCGUGGGGGAUAACGUAGGGAAACUUACGCUAAUACCGCAUACGACCUACGGGUGAAAGCAGGGGAUCUUCCGACCUUGCGCGAUUGAAUGAGCCGAUGUCGGAUUAGCUAGUUGGCGGGGUAAAGGCCCACCAAGGCGACGAUCCGUAGCUGGUCUGAGAGGAUGAUCAGCCACACUGGAACUGAGACACGGUCCAGACUCCUACGGGAGGCAGCAGUGGGGAAUAUUGGACAAUGGGCGCAAGCCUGAUCCAGCCAUACCGCGGGGGUGAAGAAGGCCUUCGGGUUGUAAAGCCCUUUUGUUGGGAAAGAAAAGCAGCAGGUUAAUACCCCGCUGUUCUGACGGUACCCAAAGAAUAAGCACCGGCUAACUUCGUG
Molecule: ribosomal RNA, 492 nt
Filed under: uncultured bacterium
Lineage: Bacteria
Description: partial 16S ribosomal RNA
Rfam family: Bacterial small subunit ribosomal RNA
Source: RNAcentral